CCUUCCUACGGGGGGCAGCAGUGGGGGAUAUUGCACAAUGGGGGAAACCCUGAUGCAGCGACGCCGCGUGAGUGAAGAAGUAUUUCGGUAUGUAAAGCUCUAUCAGCAGGGAAGAAAGAAAUGACGGUACCUGACUAAGAAGCUCCGGCUAAAUACGUGCCAGCAGCCGCGGUAAUACGUAUGGAGCAAGCGUUAUCCGGAUUUACUGGGUGUAAAGGGAGCGCAGACGGCAAGGCAAGUCUGAUGUGAAAGUCCGAGGCUCAACCUCGGGACUGCAUUGGAAACUGUCUGGCUAGAGUGCAGGG
RNAcentral lists this ribosomal RNA (305 nucleotides) under uncultured bacterium. Its description in RNAcentral is "bacterial SSU rRNA". It matches the Rfam family "Bacterial small subunit ribosomal RNA", at positions 334 to 653 of the family's 1533-position model. The record is from RNAcentral.